Molecule: non-coding RNA, 120 nt
Filed under: Chitinophaga ginsengisegetis
Lineage: Bacteria; Pseudomonadati; Bacteroidota; Chitinophagia; Chitinophagales; Chitinophagaceae
Description: SAM-I sequence
Rfam family: SAM riboswitch aptamer (S box leader)
About the family: The SAM riboswitch is found upstream of a number of genes which code for proteins involved in methionine or cysteine biosynthesis in Gram-positive bacteria.
Source: Rfam by way of RNAcentral
CACUUAUCCAGAAAGGCGGAGGGACUUGGCCCUGCGAUGCCUUAGCAACCUUUCCUGAUUAUUACAAUCAGGAAAAAGGUGCUAAUUCCUGCCCCGGUGCAAAUCGGGGAAAGAUAAGUU